GCUUAGGGCCACACCGCCUGGUUCACGCCCGUUCUCGUUUGAUCUCGGAAGCUAAGAUAGGGUGGGCCUGGUUAGUACUUGGAUGGGAGACCGCCUGGGAAUACCAGGUGUUGUAAGAU
Molecule: ribosomal RNA, 119 nt
Filed under: Scophthalmus maximus (turbot)
Lineage: Eukaryota; Metazoa; Chordata; Actinopteri; Pleuronectiformes; Scophthalmidae
Source: RNAcentral